UGAACGCUGGCGGCAGGCCUACCACAUGCAAGUCGAGCGGAUGAAGGGAGCUUGCUCCUGGUUUCAGCGGCGGACGGGUGAGUAAUGCCUAGGAAUCUGCCUGGUAGUGGGGGAUAACGUCCGGAAACGGGCGCUAAUACCGCAUACGUCCUGAGGGAGAAAGUGGGGGAUCUUCGGACCUCACGCUAUCAGAUGAGCCUAGGUCGGAUUAGCUAGUUGGUGGGGUAAAGGCCUACCAAGGCGACGAUCCGUAACUGGUCUGAGAGGAUGAUCAGUCACACUGGAACUGAGACACGGUCCAGACUCCUACGGGAGGCAGCAGUGGGGAAUAUUGGACAAUGGGCGAAAGCCUGAUCCAGCCAUGCCGCGUGUGUGAAGAAGGUCUUCGGAUUGUAAAGCACUUUAAGUUGGGAGGAAGGGCAGUAAGUUAAUACCUUGCUGUUUUGACGUUACCAACAGAAUAAGCACCGGCUAACUUCGUG
RNAcentral lists this ribosomal RNA (482 nucleotides) under uncultured bacterium. RNAcentral's name for it is "partial 16S ribosomal RNA". It matches the Rfam family "Bacterial small subunit ribosomal RNA", at positions 30 to 507 of the family's 1533-position model. The record is from RNAcentral.